RNAcentral lists this ribosomal RNA (253 nucleotides) under uncultured bacterium. Its description in RNAcentral is "partial 16S ribosomal RNA". It matches the Rfam family "Bacterial small subunit ribosomal RNA", at positions 524 to 776 of the family's 1533-position model. The record is from RNAcentral.
GACAGAGGUGGCGAGCGUUGUUCGGUGUCACUGGGCUUAGAGCGUGUGUAGGCGGGAAAGUAAGCACUUUGUGAAAUCCCCCGGCUUAACCGGGGAAUUGCUUGGUGUACUGCUUUUCUUGAGGCAAGUAGGGGUGCGAGGAACUCUUGGUGGAGCGGUGGAAUGCGUAGAUAUCAAGAGGAACGCCGGUGGUGAAGACGUCGCACUAGGCUUGUCCUGACGCUGAGACACGAAAGCGUGGGGAGCAAACGGG